This is a long non-coding RNA of Pogoniulus pusillus (Red-fronted tinkerbird), 737 nucleotides long. RefSeq lists it as uncharacterized. Lineage: Eukaryota; Metazoa; Chordata; Aves; Piciformes; Lybiidae. The record is from RefSeq and is a predicted model, not a curated record. The transcript is spliced from 4 exons.
AGAAACACACAGCAGCCCCACCAGUGCCGCCCACACCCUGCACCUGCAGUCCCAAAGCCAGGAGCUGUGCUCUGCCUGUCCAGCUGCAGCCCCACGGCCCCCAGAAGCUCUGCGCACUGUGCCAGCUGCUCAGGCUUGAGUGGAAGAACUCCACCACCCUUUUCUCCUCGGUGCCCUUGGGCAAGUCACCUUAGCUGAACCUCACUGUGAGGACAGCAGGGUCUUGGUGACAGUCCAGAGCAGCCAAGCAUGCCAGCUGGAGACACCUGCAAUCCCACCCCUGGACCACCACCAUUGUCCUGCUGGCAACACUGGACAGCAGCCACUGGACUCUGGGCUGCCAAACUACUGAGCUCUUGACUUUCAUAGGUUUCCAGGGAAAAGUAACUUGGAACAGGCACCACUUUUGCUCCUCGUACCCUGUACAGUGAAGAUGAAAUUGCCACAUCUCACCGAGAGCUCGCAGCUCCUGUGUGCCAGCAGACAGGCCACAACUCUUGAUUUAUAAUCCAUGGGAACUAGAAUACAACUGAUCACAAUUUCCAUGUUGGUCCAGGAGAAGAUCUGAUUGUAACCUCCAGGCGCUUGAUGAUUCAGUGACUUCCACUACAGCCCUGUGUCACCAGGAUGAACUUUGUUGUCCUCCACAAGUCCAAGGAAUCCUCUUUAGUGCUUAUUACCCAAAAGAUGUAGAACAUUAAGGUAAUCAGAACACAAACAGCAACAGUACCUUUAAC